CCUACGGGUGGCAGCAGUGAGGAAUAUUGGUCAAUGGGCGGGAGCCUGAACCAGCCAAGUAGCGUGCAGGAUGACGGCGCUACGGGUCGUAAACUUCUUUUGUCCGGGAACAACGCGCGUCACGCGUAGCGCUGUGAGUGUACCCGAAGAAUAAGCAUCGGCUAACUCCGUGCCAGCAGCCGCGGUAAUACGGAGGGUGCGAGCGUUAUCCGGAUUUAUUGGGUUUAAAGGGUGCGUAGGCGGUCCGUAAAGUGAGCGGUAAAAGCCCGGGGCUCAACCCGGGCGAGCCGUGGGAACUGUCGGACUAGAGACGGCGGGAAGUACGCGGAAUGCGCGGUGUAGCGGUGAAAUGCUUAGAUAUCGCGCAGAACCCCGAUUGCGAAGGCAGCGUGCCGCCGCCGGACUGACGCUGAGGCACGAAAGCGUGGGUAUCGAACAGGAUUAGAUACCCGGGUAGUC
Molecule: ribosomal RNA, 459 nt
Filed under: uncultured bacterium
Lineage: Bacteria
Description: partial 16S ribosomal RNA
Rfam family: Bacterial small subunit ribosomal RNA
Source: RNAcentral